UCCCCCGCCUCCCCGAGCGUUUUACAGCAGGCGGGGCGGCUGCGUGUUGUGGUACCGCAAGGAGAUACCAGUAACGGCUGGAAGCGGAGCUCCGGCACCACGAGCGGAGCAGGAGUGCGGCUUGUAGACAGCGUUCAGCUUGCUGGUCUGAGCCGGUCCCUUCUAGCUCACACAACCUCCUGCAGCGCUACAGGCUAGGGGAAGAGCGCGUGGAAAGCUGCCCAGAGGAAAAGGAGGUGCUGACUGACGGCCGCCUAACAUGAGCCAGCUUGUGCCCGGGUGUCCGAGAAGGCCAACAGCGUCCUGGCCUGUAUCAGCAAUAGUGUAGCCAGCAGGGCCAGGGAAGUGAUCAUCCUUCUGUACCGGACACUGCACAAUGAUGCUUCCAUGUCAAGCGAUGCAUCUGAGACCAGAGAGGGAAAGUGACUGGCCUGGGAGUGCACAGGCAAGCUGUGAAAAUACUCAGCUCAACAGAAGGUGAGCUCUGAAUGAAGGGAGAGAAACCAUCAACAACAUCAUCAACUCCUGAGAAGGACUCGGGACGCUGGGGACUCACUGAAACACUCCCCUCAGAAUGACGCUGAGAACUGUAGGAUGCAGAGGAGGUGGGGAAGGGAUUCCAGAAGAAAUUAAUCCCAAGGACAUCAUGCCACACAUUUCCCAGAGGAGCUCUGGAUUAAAGACGAUUCUUCCUUGUUGGGUAGGAAAAAUGGUAGACUGAAAGGACGGACUAAGGUCAUGUUUUAAUGUGCAUUGCCCCAGCAUAGCCAAACACUGUUAUAAUCACCAACAAGAAAAGGAGAUAAUGUGGACAAGGUAAUUAAAAAAAUGUCUAAAUAUAUUUAAAAUGAAGGAGGAGAGUUAUGUAAAGAGAUUAAUGUGAAAGGAAAAAGCAGUGACUUAGACUAGAAAAGGGGGAUUGGUAAGUCCCCCCCUGCUCAACUCAAUAUGGUAUGUAUUUAAACUAUAGAAAUUGCUGGUCCUUUGAGUAAAAUGCUGUUGCUGCUGUAUUUGGCAAAGGCAGAUGAGAAGUGAUAAGAACUCUUCCUGCAGUAGUUACGAUGACUCAGGAAAUAAUUACAAGCUUCAUCACUUUUUUAAUGACUUUGGAUAUAAAAACUGCUUUGAAACCUUAUAAAAUAAUAAAUAUUUAAAAUCUAGAUAAUGAAAAAGCACCAGAGCAUAGCACUGGGCUUUUAUUCAGACAAAAUAACUAACCUGUGGUACUCUUUCAAUUUAUACUAAUGAAAACUAAUCUGUACAUACAUCUCUAGAAGACAAUGAUAUUAAAAGUACUUUUUGAAAGAAAGAAAAAAUAAAUGAAUAAUACAA
Long non-coding RNA from Strigops habroptila (Kakapo), 1332 nucleotides. RefSeq lists it as uncharacterized. The record is from RefSeq and is a predicted model, not a curated record. NCBI's taxonomy places the organism in Eukaryota, Metazoa, Chordata, Aves, Psittaciformes, Psittacidae. The transcript has 4 exons.